Molecule: unclassified non-coding RNA, 244 nt
Filed under: Hevea brasiliensis (rubber tree)
Lineage: Eukaryota; Viridiplantae; Streptophyta; Magnoliopsida; Malpighiales; Euphorbiaceae
Source: RNAcentral
AAAUUACUGAUUCUGUUAUAAUGAAGGACAGGAAGACUGGACAACCUCGUGGUUUUGGGUUUGUGACCUAUGCAGAUCCCUCAGUUGUUGAUCAAGUUAUACAGGACACACAUAUUAUUAAUGGGAAACAAGUGGAAAUCAAGCGAACGAUACCAAAGGGAGCUAUUGGAUCUAAGGAUUUCAAGACCAAAAAGAUUUUUGUUGGUGGAAUUCCAACAGCUGUGACUGAAGAUGAGUUCAAAGA